AUCUGCUCAGAGAAGUUUGUUGAAGGAGAUUCAUAGAAUUGCACCAAGCUCACAUGUUACCACUAAGCAGGACUCCUCCAAGCCUUGAAAACAACAGUGUGUAUGCACGUGCGUGCGCGCAUGCGUGUACACACAAUUAACUUUGCACUAAUUGGUGAGCCAUUUCUGAAGGGAAGCCAAGAGGAGCUUUUCAUACAGAGGGCAGGCAGGCAGUUGUGGGUAUACCCAAGGUUACUGUGACUAGAGAAGGUUGUGUAUAUGAAAGAAAAGCAUCACCCCAGCCAAUGUCUUUGUCAUGGUAGAGACCUCACCAAUGCCAGCUACUAUUUCAUUAGUCCUGGUGAGUAUGCCAACAGGAACGAAGAAACUUCAAAAGCCGUAAUUUCAAGACAUUUAGUGCUCACUAAUAUAGAUAUUCUGGAACCACUCAAGCAAUUCCUCUCUUGGCUACUGGAAGCUGUAAACCCAUCUGUCAUCCAGAGAGGAAGACUCAUCUGAAGUCCAGGCACACAGCUUACAAGCCAGGUCCUACCCCCUAGGAGUUCCAGAGCCUUGGAAUACAGUGUCUCCAGCUGGGAACAAGCGUUUAAAGCAUGAACCUCUGGGUGACAUUUCAGAUUCAAAACAAUAACACUAUCAAAGUAAUUGGGAACUCAUAAGGGAAGUUGGGGAGAAAGGAAACAUUUUCUAGUAGCAGUAAGACAAUCUAUCUCAAUGUUCACAUAUCUUUGGUAAAAACAAACCACUUACAUAGAACCAAUGUGAACUUCAUUAAUUGAAGAAAAAGAAAAGUCUGAGUUAACUAUGGCCGAACCCUACGAUGGAACACUAUCAGUUCUCAAAAAGAAGGAGCUAACCGCUUGCUGACCUAAAAAGAUUGCUGUGGGUUUUUGUUAUUCUUGUUUUCUUUUUGCACCAGAAACCAUCCCUGUGUGCGCCAGUCAAGUACACUACACUAAGCUAUGUCCCUGAUUCUUCCAUGGAAUACAAGAGGAUGUUGAAUACAUGAGAAAAAAUGUUAUCUUAUGUGUUUUAUGUAUGAAUCUACUUGUACAAAACAAUUGUAUUAUAGCAUCCAUUUAUUAAUGUAAGUACCGAGAAAUUCAGGGAAAGAUACACACACAGCUUAUUAAAACAUGUCAUCACAAUCAAAUGGGAAAGACUGUGGCAGAAGCCAGUUUUUAAAUUUCCUCUCUAUAUACUUACCUUGACUUAAUUGUUCCAAUAAAUGUAUUGUUUUUGAAUAAACACACACUACAGAGAACAGAAUUUAGCAAAUUUUCAUUAGAAUGGGGCACACAGUUCAGGCAGGCGACACUGUCAGGGUCUGCAGUGACUAGUGAGUUAACCUUCUUCUCUUGCUCUGUAUCCCCUAGUGGGCUCAGCUCUUGUUCACAAAUCCAGUUAUUAAGAAUAGAU
This is a long non-coding RNA of Mesocricetus auratus (golden hamster), 1419 nucleotides long. RefSeq lists it as uncharacterized. The transcript has 5 exons. The record is from RefSeq and is a predicted model, not a curated record. Lineage: Eukaryota; Metazoa; Chordata; Mammalia; Rodentia; Cricetidae.